This 253-nucleotide ribosomal RNA is filed under the name uncultured bacterium. RNAcentral describes it as "partial 16S ribosomal RNA". It matches the Rfam family "Bacterial small subunit ribosomal RNA", at positions 524 to 776 of the family's 1533-position model. The record is from RNAcentral.
GACGGAGGAUGCAAGCGUUAUCCGGAAUUAUUGGGCGUAAAGCGUCCGCAGGUGGCUUUUCAAGUCUGUUGCCAAAGCGCGGGGCUUAACUCCGUACAGGCAAUGGAAACUGUGAAGCUAGAGUAUGGUAGGGGUAGAGGGAAUUCCCGGUGUAGCGGUGAAAUGCGUAGAUAUCGGGAAGAACACCAGUGGCGAAAGCGCUCUGCUGGACCAUAACUGACACUGAGGGACGAAAGCUAGGGGAGCGAAAGGG